CUUUCGAUCCAUCGCCUUCUCCAAAUCCUCUGAAUUCUCAAUUCUCCGAUUCGCCGGACGAUCGUACGGUUAAUUUUUUCCGGCAAUGACUCUGCUCACGCCUCCUCCGGUAGAUCCAGAAGACCACGAAAUGCUUGUUCCUAGUUCUGACUUUCCUACCGAGGGACCCCUGCCUGUGGAAGUUUUGGCAGGUGCACCAGCAGACACAACAAAUACGGUUGAUGCACAAGCGGUGGAUGAUCCGGCAUCAGCCCGGUUCACAUGGACUGUCGAAAAAUUUUCGAGGUUGAAUGUGAAGAAGUUGUACUCUGAUCCUUUUAACGUAGGAGGAUUUAAAUGGAGGAUUCUGAUAUUCCCAAAAGGGAACAAUGCAGACCAUUUGUCAAUGUAUUUAGAUGUGGCGGAUGCUGCAACAUUGCCUUAUGGUUGGAGUAGAUUUGCUCAGUUUAGCUUAGCUGUUAUCAACCGAAUGAAUAACAAGUUAACAGUAAAGAAAGAUACUCAGCACCAGUUUAAUGCAAGGGAGAGUGACUGGGGUUUCACAUCUUUCAUGCCUUUAAGUGAAUUAUAUGAUCCCAGCAGAGGUUUUAUUAUGGAUGAUACUGUUAUUGUUGAAGCUGAUGUUUCUGUUCGUAAGGUUGCUGAUUACUGGUCCCAUGACUCU
This 664-nucleotide unclassified non-coding RNA is filed under the name Hevea brasiliensis (rubber tree). Lineage: Eukaryota; Viridiplantae; Streptophyta; Magnoliopsida; Malpighiales; Euphorbiaceae. The record is from RNAcentral.